RNAcentral lists this transfer RNA (58 nucleotides) under Pristionchus pacificus. It matches the Rfam family "tRNA", at positions 8 to 63 of the family's 71-position model. From Rfam's summary of the family: Transfer RNA (tRNA) molecules are approximately 80 nucleotides in length. The record is from Rfam by way of RNAcentral. Lineage: Eukaryota; Metazoa; Nematoda; Chromadorea; Rhabditida; Neodiplogasteridae.
UGGCCUAAUGGAUAAGGCGUCUGACUUCUAAUCAGAAGAUCGUCGGUUCAAUCUCGGC